RNAcentral lists this long non-coding RNA (323 nucleotides) under Setaria viridis. Its description in RNAcentral is "long non-coding RNA (SVIR_LNC003390)". Lineage: Eukaryota; Viridiplantae; Streptophyta; Magnoliopsida; Poales; Poaceae. The record is from RNAcentral.
GGGUCCACACAUAUGAGCCGUCCCCAUCAAUCCCCAGGCACGUGGAUAGGGCCCACUUCCCUUGGAUACAAGGCCCCAUGGUCCCAAAACGUCGCCAUACCGUGAUUGCAUUGUACCCACAUGAUGCAUAAGGGGAACUCCGUUCCAGAGAGAGCGGGGAUACAACCAAGCCCUGAUUCAAUCAGGUACUAGGCUUCUCCAUCCCAUACUAGGUAUGAUUUUAGUACUUUCAAACACUUGACCACAAUCACUAACACGGUUCGACCUUAGCACAUUCAUCUUCUAUACAGGCAUCCACCAAUUCAGAACCAAUUGCCCAGCCC